UAGGGAAUCUUCGGCAAUGGACGGAAGUCUGAUCGAGCAACGCCGCGCGAGUGAAGAAGGUUUUCGGAUCGUAAAGCUCUGUUGUUAGAGAAGAACGUUGGUAGGAGUGGGAAAUCUACCAAGUGACGGUAACUAACCAGAAAGGGACGGCUAACUAUGUGCCAGCAGCCGCGGUAUUACGUAGGUCCCGAGCGUUGUCCGGAUUUAUUGGGCGUAAAGCGAGCGCAGGCGGUUCUUUAAGUCUGAAGUUAAAAGCAGUGGCUUAACCAUUGGUCGCUUUGGAAACUUGAGGGCUUUGGUGCAGAAGAAGAGAGUGGAAUUCCAUGUGUAGCGUUAAAAUUCGUAAAUAUAUGGGGGAACUCCGGUGACAAAAACUACUCUCUCGUCUGUCACUAACGCUGAGGCUAGAAAGCGUGGGGAGCAAACAGC
RNAcentral lists this ribosomal RNA (429 nucleotides) under Bacillota bacterium. RNAcentral's name for it is "Firmicutes bacterium partial 16S ribosomal RNA". It matches the Rfam family "Bacterial small subunit ribosomal RNA", at positions 355 to 776 of the family's 1533-position model. Lineage: Bacteria; Bacillati; Bacillota. The record is from RNAcentral.